AUAACACCUGGAAACAGAUGCUAAUACCGGAUAACAACAGAUGAUGCCUAUCAACUGUUUAAAAGAUGGUUCUGCUAUCACUCUUGGAUGGACCUGCGGUGCAUUAGCUAGUUGGUAGGGUAACGGCCUACCAAGGCGAUGAUGCAUAGCCGAGUUGAGAGACUGAUCGGCCACAUUGGGACUGAGACACGGCCCAAACUCUACGGGAGGCAGCAGCC
This 218-nucleotide ribosomal RNA is filed under the name uncultured Lactobacillus sp. Its description in RNAcentral is "partial 16S ribosomal RNA". It matches the Rfam family "Bacterial small subunit ribosomal RNA", at positions 143 to 355 of the family's 1533-position model. Lineage: Bacteria; Bacillati; Bacillota; Bacilli; Lactobacillales; Lactobacillaceae. The record is from RNAcentral.